This is a non-coding RNA of Salvia hispanica, 983 nucleotides long. NCBI's taxonomy places the organism in Eukaryota, Viridiplantae, Streptophyta, Magnoliopsida, Lamiales, Lamiaceae. The record is from RefSeq and is a predicted model, not a curated record.
GAUCUAAUUAACCCUCUCUAAUUAACCAUCACUUCUCUCCCUUCCUCCACACAACCUCAAUGUCGCAGCCCUAGCUUUGCCGUCGCAUUUCAGCCGCAUGUCGCCGCCGUUCCGCCGCUGCCGUUAACGAUCGCUCAAGCUGAGCGUAAAUCUGAUGAUGAUCGCCGGAGAAGCUCUGGAAUCAAACAUCACGGUGAUCGGACCGCUCGUUCUCCAAGCAAUUGCUCAUUGCACAUCCCCUAAUCAAAUCGAAGACGUACAUCCGCGAUUUCACAUCAUCGCUUCACUACGUAUCCAUCUCAUCAAGCGAAGAAAGGUUAUCUGAUAAUGACAUACUGGAUUCCGGAUGGACCUUUCUUGCUUUCUUCUAAUGCUAGUCAUUAUGUUGAAGUUGGCUCCUUUGUAAUCAAUCAUAAAGAUGAGUGGUACAAGAAAAACAUACUACUCCAGAUCUUCUUCAUCUUUGGAAAAUACCCACUGGUUUAAUUCUUGAGAAAUUUACUGUCUCGUUCCAUACAAGUGCUAGUGGUACAAGAAAAACAUACUACUUCAGAUCUUCUUCAUUUCUGGAAAAUACCCAAUGGUUUCAUUCUUGAGAUGAUGUGCUAGCUCACAACACAAUAUGGCAAUGAUGGUGAUGGAGAUCGUUGAGAGUGGGAACAGAUAUAUUUUUGUUGAGGAAACUCCAUCACAAUAUGGUGGACUAAGCAAAGGAGACUUUGAAGCAGCUGAUAGUGUGAAUGAGAUUAUUGUGAAACCUUCAGCUCAACACAUUGUUGAAUUUUCUACCAAUCAGUGGAGUUGCUGGUUAUAUUGAAUCAGAAGACAAAUAGAUUGUUGUAAUCUUAUUUGAACUGCUACGACUAAGUACAUGACAUUGAUUACAUAUUUACAUGUAAGAAAUUGUAAUUCAUUAUUUUAGCUUUCACUACCAACUAGAACAAAAAUGUGACUGAGAUAAUCUGUUCAAUAUUUUUUCCCAA